This 336-nucleotide unclassified non-coding RNA is filed under the name soil metagenome. RNAcentral describes it as "partial contains 5.8S ribosomal RNA, internal transcribed spacer 2, and large subunit ribosomal RNA". The stretch from base 1 to 120 matches the Rfam family "5.8S ribosomal RNA", at positions 35 to 154 of the family's 154-position model. The record is from RNAcentral.
GAUGAAGAACGUAGCGAAAUGCGAUAAGUAAUGUGAAUUGCAGAAUUCAGUGAAUCAUCAAAUCUUUGAACGCACAUUGCGCCCGCCAGUAUUCUGGCGGGCAUGCCUGUUCGAGCGUCAUUUCAACCAUCAAGCCCCCGGCUUGUGUUGGGGACCUGCGGCUGCCGCAGGCCCUGAAAACCAGUGGCGGGCUCGCUGUCACACCGAGCGUAGUAGAUUUUCAUCUCGCUCAGGGCGUGCUGCGGGUUCCGGCCGUAAAAAGCCUUAUUUACCCAAGGUUGACCUCGGAUCAGGUAGGAAGACCCGCUGAACUUAAGCAUAUCAAUAAGCGGAGGA